AUAGAGCGAGGGAGGAUUUGUUUCUUAAGUUGCGUUUUUGGAGUUGCAGUAACGUUAUAGAAGAACAACAUGCCCACCAGCUGUUGUGUGUACGGGUGUACAAAUCGAAAUCCUGAGGAACAUACAUUUUUUUGCAAUUCCCAGAGGAAACAGGCCAUUUAAAAGCACCGUAGGAGCCUGUGGCUGCAAGUAAAAGAACCGACUGGACCGAGGAUCAUCAAGAAUCAUAUCUGGUGAGAUGUCACUGGACCACGACAGUCCUGAUUUUGUGCCCUCUAUUUUUUCAUACACUAAACAAAACCAAAACCCCGAUGCAAAGAUCAAAAGGUACCAAAGAAAAAAGAAAUGGAGUGAAAGACUUCUGGUUGCUCCACCAAAUCAACCUGCUCCUGCUCCUGGAACUCCAGAGGAAGUCACCGGCAUGGAUCACAGUCCUAGUAACUCCAGAGGAAUCACCAGCAUGGAUCACAGUCCUAGUAAGUGUAGCCACUGUUGUGUCAUUUCAUGUCUCAUUGUAUGUAUAAUGGUUCAACCAUGCUGAGUAUUCUCCCCCUAUGCUGAUCUCCACAUCCAUUCUUUUCUUUACAACCCAUAUUUAUGCACAGUGUAGACUAACACAGUUGCAAUUAAUCUUAGGUCUAUGUAUGUGACAAAUAAAAUCUCCUUGUCCCUGUCCUUUU
This is a long non-coding RNA of Cololabis saira (Pacific saury), 680 nucleotides long. RefSeq lists it as uncharacterized. The transcript is spliced from 3 exons. The record is from RefSeq and is a predicted model, not a curated record. Lineage: Eukaryota; Metazoa; Chordata; Actinopteri; Beloniformes; Belonidae.